CAGAACUCGAGGUUUGCUGUAUUUAUUUCUGAUUGUCUGCUGCUACAAAUAAAAUCCCUCCAGAUAUAAAUUAACCAUGUCAAUGGACACAGAAAUCGAUGACUCACUCUAUAGAAUGGUUUCAAAGACAGCAUAUGAGAAGAAAACAGAAGAAAAUUAGGAAAAAUUGGUUUCUAAAGGCAGCUUCCACUCAAAAAUUAUUGUUGCUGUUGCUUCUUCUCAAUCUUUCUUUCUCAUCUGAGGUUAUGUGUGUGUAUUUGUAUGUGUGUGUUUGACAAGAAUUGUAAUGUUUUGGUUUGUUUUGCAAGUGAAAUAAAAAUGGUAUAAAAUAGAAAUAAAGUUAAUAAAACAAAUGAGAUAUUAAAUUAAAAUUUAAUUUAAAAACUUUCAAAUCAAAAAGUUGCAUCCCAAAAGGAUGAACGAAGAAUAACAGAAGCAAGAAGAAACAAAUACAAAAUCAGUAUAAAUAAUGAUGAUGAUGAUGACCAAAACAUAAAACAAGCAAAAAAUUAGGUAAAAACCAAUAUCACAGAAAAUCAAAUAUAGUCAGCAAACAAAUGGAAACAAGAAAAACAAAUAAUAAAAUAAUCAAACAACUGUAGCAACAAAAACCAAAUUAAAAAUACGACUAAAACAGUAUCAAAAGUGAAGUAUAAAUCUUCCAUUCUCUGUUGUAAAAAAAAAUAAAAUUGUUUCAGAUUUUGAUAGAAGGUUAAUUAUGUUGAGGAGAGAGGGGUUUAGUACUAUUGACCCCAGUACAAGACUGGUACUUUAUUUUAUUGAUCCUGGAGAGAGAGAGAGAGAGAGAGAGAGAGAGAGAGAGAGAGAGAUGAAAGAAUGAAAGGUAAAGUUGACUUCCGUUAGAUUUGAACUCAGAUCAUAAAGAGCCAGAACAAAUACCAAAAGGUAUAUUGUCUGAUAUUUCAAUGAUUCUGCUAAUCCAGCACCCUUAUAAUAAUGAUAAUAAUAAUAAUAAUAAUAAUAAUAGUCCUUUCUACUAUUGGCACAAGGCCUGAAAUUCUGGAGGAGAGGACUAGUCAAUUACAUCACUCCCAGUGUUUCAGUGGUACUUAAUUUAUCGACCCCAAAAGGAUGAAUGGCGAAGUCAACUUUGGCAGAAUUUUUAACUCAGAACAUAGCGAUAAAGCAUUUUAUCCAGCAUGCUAACGAUUCUGCCAGCUCACCAUCUUCACAAACGAUUCUGUCAGCUCGCCAUUUUUGCUAACAAUUCUGCCAGCUAAUCAUCAUCAUCAUCAUCGUCAUCAUCAUCAUCAUCAUCCUUUCUGCUGUAGGCCCAAGGCCUGAAAUUUGGUGCUGAAAGGAUGAAAGGCAAAGUCAACUGUGAUGGAAUUUGAACUUCAAAUGUAAAGUCGGAUGAAAUGCUACUAAGCAUUUUGCCUGACAUGCUAACAAUUCUGCCAGCUUGACACCUUAAUAAUGAUAAUUCUUUCUAGUAUAGAUAGAAAGCCUAAAAUUUGUGGGGAGGGAGCUAGUCAAGAGGGCUUCCUUUAGAUUAAUAAUCCUUCUAUAGGCACAAGGCCUGAGAUUUUAGGGGAAGGGGCUAGUCAAUUGCAGUGACCUAGUACUUGACUGGUACUUAUUUCAUUGACUCUAAAAGGAUGAAGUCAACCUCAGUGGAGUUUGAACUCCGAUCAUAAAGAUCCAAAAUAAAUGCUGCAAAGCACUUUGUCCAGUGUGCUAAUGAUUCUGCCAGUUUGCUGCCUUUAUUCUAAUAAUUGUUUCUUCUAUAUGCAUAAGGCCUAAUUUUUUUUUU
This is a long non-coding RNA of Octopus bimaculoides (California two-spot octopus), 1774 nucleotides long. NCBI's taxonomy places the organism in Eukaryota, Metazoa, Mollusca, Cephalopoda, Octopoda, Octopodidae. The record is from RefSeq and is a predicted model, not a curated record.